UACGUAGGGUCCGAGCGUUGUCCGGAACUAUUGGGCGUAAAGAGCUCGUAGGCGGUUUGUCGCGUCUGCUGUGAAAUCCCGAGGCUCAACCUCGGGCCUGCAGUGGGUACGGGCAGACUGGAGUGCGGUAGGGGAGAAUGGAAUUCCUGGUGUAGCGGUGGAAUGCGCAGAUAUCAGGAGGAACACCGAUGGCGAAGGCAGUUCUCUGGGCCGUAACUGACGCUGAGGAGCGAAAGCGUGGGGAGCGAACAGG
This 253-nucleotide ribosomal RNA is filed under the name uncultured bacterium. Its description in RNAcentral is "partial 16S ribosomal RNA". It matches the Rfam family "Bacterial small subunit ribosomal RNA", at positions 524 to 776 of the family's 1533-position model. The record is from RNAcentral.